GUCUACGGCCAUGCCACCCUGACCGUGCCUGAUCUCGUCUGAUCUUGGAAGCUAAGCAGGGUCGGGCCUGGUUAGUACUUGGAUGGGAGACCACUUAGGAAGACCAGGGCUGUAGGCU
Molecule: ribosomal RNA, 118 nt
Filed under: Pteropus alecto (black flying fox)
Lineage: Eukaryota; Metazoa; Chordata; Mammalia; Chiroptera; Pteropodidae
Source: RNAcentral